RNAcentral lists this ribosomal RNA (594 nucleotides) under uncultured bacterium. Its description in RNAcentral is "bacterial SSU rRNA". It matches the Rfam family "Bacterial small subunit ribosomal RNA", at positions 90 to 657 of the family's 1533-position model. The record is from RNAcentral.
AGAAAGUGGCGAACGGGUGAGUAACGCGUGGGUAAUCUACCCUGUUAAGUGGGGGAUAACCCUCCGAAAGGAGGGCUAAUACCGCAUAAUAUCUUCUCCUCUAAAAGAGAAGAAGAUUAAAGAUGGCCUCUAUACUAUGCUAUCGCUUCAGGAUGAGCCCGCGUCCUAUUAGUUAGUUGGUGGGGUAAUGGCCUACCAAGACUACAAUGGGUAGCCGGUCUGAGAGGAUGUACGGCCACACUGGGACUGAGAUACGGCCCAGACUCCUACGGGAGGCAGCAGUGGGGAAUAUUGCGCAAUGGGGGAAACCCUGACGCAGCGACGCCGCGUGGAUGAUGAAGGCCUUUGGGUUGUAAAAUCCUGUUCUGGGGGAAGAAAGCUUAAGGGUCCAAUAAACCUUUAAGUUUGACGGUACCCCAAGAGAAAGCUCCGGCUAAUUAUGUGCCAGCAGCCGCGGUAAUACAUAAGGAGCAAGCGUUAUCCGGAAUUAUUGGGCGUAAAGAGCUCGUAGGCGGUCUUAAAAGUCAGUUGUGAAAUUAUCAGGCUUAACCUGAUAAGGUCAUCUGAAACUUUAAGACUUGAGGUUAGAAGAGG